CCGGUAGGUUUCUGAAAUACCGAUUGAUAGGCUGACUUCUCUUCUCUCUUCUUUUUUCUUGUUUUAUUUUACUAAUUUUCCUUCUUCUGAUAGGUAAACUCAAGCAGCCGAGCCCUAAGCAGAGUGAGAUCCGGCAGCUCGACAGAGUGAGGCUGAGAGUACCCGCUGCCGAGCGAGUUUACCCACGCUUCCUCUUCACCGACAACCUCGUCAGAGCCGGC
This 221-nucleotide long non-coding RNA is filed under the name Prunus persica (peach). RNAcentral describes it as "long non-coding RNA (PPER_LNC006523)". Lineage: Eukaryota; Viridiplantae; Streptophyta; Magnoliopsida; Rosales; Rosaceae. The record is from RNAcentral.